AAGAGUUUGAUCAUGGCUCAGGAUGAACGCCGGCGGUGUGCCUAAUACAUGCAAGUCGAACGCGUUGGCCCAAUUGAUUGACGGUGCUUGCACCUGAUUGAUUUUGGUCGCCAACGAGUGGCGGACGGGUGAGUAACACGUAGGUAACCUGCCCAGAAGCGGGGGAGAACAUUUGGAAACAGAUGCUAAUACCGCAUAACCGCGUUGUUCGCAUGAACAACGCUUAAAAGAUGGCUUCUCGCUAUCACUUCUGGAUGGACCUGCGGUGCAUUAGCUUGUUGGUGGGGUAACGGCCUACCAAGGCGAUGAUGCAUAGCCGAGUUGAGAGACUGAUCGGCCACAAUGGGACUGAGACACGGCCCAUACUCCUACGGGAGGCAGCAGUAGGGAAUCUUCCACAAUGGGCGCAAGCCUGAUGGAGCAACACCGCGUGAGUGAAGAAGGGUUUCGGCUCGUAAAGCUCUGUUGUUAAAGAAGAACACGUAUGAGAGUAACUGUUCAUACGUUGACGGUAUUUAACCAGAAAGUCACGGCUAACUACGUGCCAGCAGCCGCGGUAAUACGUAGGUGGCAAGCGUUAUCCGGAUUUAUUGGGCGUAAAGAGAGUGCAGGCGGUUUUCUAAGUCUGAUGUGAAAGCCUUCGGCUUAACCGGAGAAGUGCAUCGGAAACUGGAUAACUUGAGUGCAGAAGAGGGUAGUGGAACUCCAUGUGUAGCGGUGGAAUGCGUAGAUAUAUGGAAGAACACCAGUGGCGAAGGCGGCUACCUGGUCUGCAACUGACGCUGAGACUCGAAAGCAUGGGUAGCGAACAGGAUUAGAUACCCUGGUAGUCCAUGCCGUAAACGAUGAGUGCUAGGUGUUGGAGGGUUUCCGCCCUUCAGUGCCGGAGCUAACGCAUUAAGCACUCCGCCUGGGGAGUACGACCGCAAGGUUGAAACUCAAAGGAAUUGACGGGGGCCCGCACAAGCGGUGGAGCAUGUGGUUUAAUUCGAAGCUACGCGAAGAACCUUACCAGGUCUUGACAUCUUGCGCCAACCCUAGAGAUAGGGCGUUUCCUUCGGGAACGCAAUGACAGGUGGUGCAUGGUCGUCGUCAGCUCGUGUCGUGAGAUGUUGGGUUAAGUCCCGCAACGAGCGCAACCCUUGUUACUAGUUGCCAGCAUUAAGUUGGGCACUCUAGUGAGACUGCCGGUGACAAACCGGAGGAAGGUGGGGACGACGUCAGAUCAUCAUGCCCCUUAUGACCUGGGCUACACACGUGCUACAAUGGACGGUACAACGAGUCGCGAACUCGCGAGGGCAAGCAAAUCUCUUAAAACCGUUCUCAGUUCGGACUGCAGGCUGCAACUCGCCUGCACGAAGUCGGAAUCGCUAGUAAUCGCGGAUCAGCAUGCCGCGGUGAAUACGUUCCCGGGCCUUGUACACACCGCCCGUCACACCAUGAGAGUUUGUAACACCCAAAGUCGGUGGGGUAACCUUUUAGGAGCCAGCCGCCUAAGGUGGGACA
RNAcentral lists this ribosomal RNA (1506 nucleotides) under Limosilactobacillus fermentum. Its description in RNAcentral is "bacterial SSU rRNA". It matches the Rfam family "Bacterial small subunit ribosomal RNA". The record is from RNAcentral. Lineage: Bacteria; Bacillati; Bacillota; Bacilli; Lactobacillales; Lactobacillaceae.